Long non-coding RNA from Lolium rigidum, 737 nucleotides. RefSeq lists it as uncharacterized. The transcript has 3 exons. The record is from RefSeq and is a predicted model, not a curated record. Lineage: Eukaryota; Viridiplantae; Streptophyta; Magnoliopsida; Poales; Poaceae.
UCAGGAUGCGCUUCAGCGUGCUACUCUUGAGAGCAAAUCCCAAGUGGGCUCAAUUUUUCAAGUUCUUAACACAAAAGAACCUCCUUCCAGACAAACAAAUUUACUUAGGCCUUCCAUGACAUUGUUAUGCAUAUGGGAGUUACAUGCUCAGAUCUGUGUGGUGACCUUUGGUCCAAGAUUGCUGCAUCCGAUAGCAUCUUCCUUGAGGGAACCUUUGGUCCAAGAUUGCUGCAUCCGAUAGCAUCUUUGUAGUUGCUAGGACAGUUGUAUGAUGCGGUGGCUGUGUAACUCGGCCUCGGCUACAACAUCUCCGGCGAGCUCCUGGUUCACACUUUGAUCAAAGGCUCAUUCAUGUUCCAGGAUAACAGGGGGCCAGAUGACGGAGUAGCAGCUGGGACCUGCAGCCUGAUGUGCCUUGGAUGGAAAGUGGAAGACCCGGGGCUAGAAGGAGACAAGUCAUCAUUUAGCGCCUUGUUUGUCAGGCCAUCUCUAUGCAACAGCGCUAGCUUUAUUUCUGUCGCCUUAGUCAACUGUGCGGUAUAUAUGGUUGCAUCGGAUGAGCAGCUGAGGUUUCAAGUCGGAAAAUGAUUGUGGUGUAUGUAAUAAUCCCAGCUUUUGUUGAUGUUUGCUGUUGGGUAUCUUGGUAUAUCUGUUUGAUUAGACAUCUUGUUGAGAUUUAGUGUCGUAUGAUUGUGUGCUAUGUGCACUUAGUAUAGUUUUGAAGAAUAUAUAUUCUU